CCCUCCCCCCCCGCCUCCCCAAACUCACCUCAGUUGCCAACAGCCACCCCGUGCCUGUUGGACCAUCCCUUGCUAGUUCUUCAUCUCCUGUGGGCCUAGUUUCCAGGGGCUGAGUGACCAGGGUCUUAAAACAGGUUUAAGACUUGGCUUGCUGGCCCUGGAGAUCCCGUCGCCGUCUUCGUCGAAUUCGAACUCCUAGCCAUCGUCCUUCCCUGGCCUGUCGCGUCUUCCUGUGCCAUUUGCUGUUGUGCUCAGGUUCCACGAGCUGCCCAUCUCCACAGAAGAGCAGCUGGCAUUGCCCACCGGCCAUGCCGGCUGAAGAAAAGAAGUCUGAGGACCCCAGGACGCCCAGCGCGAGGACCCCAGGAAGCCCAGCGCGAGGACCCCACCCACGACGCCCAGCGCGAGGACCUCACGCACAACCCUCCUGGAUUAGGCCAAAGCCAUCAUCUGGAAUCCUGCGUGGGACCCUGGACACACGGACACAGACACCUGCCCCCAGGACCCUCCAACUGUAAAUCGAUUGGAAGCGCCCUUGUGAGCUGGGGCCUUCAAAGGGCUGAGGAGAAAAUGCAGGCCGAGAGACCAGCUUCUCAAAUAGGCUUCAAGCCUCCAUGACCUGAGCUCACCCCCUGGAAAUGUCUGGAAAACAUAAUGGGCAGGUUUUCUGUCUUCAAAGUUUCCA
Molecule: long non-coding RNA, 685 nt
Filed under: Mus caroli (Ryukyu mouse)
Lineage: Eukaryota; Metazoa; Chordata; Mammalia; Rodentia; Muridae
Description: lncRNA (MGP_CAROLIEiJ_G0004912.1)
Source: RNAcentral